RNAcentral lists this long non-coding RNA (954 nucleotides) under Cicer arietinum (chickpea). RNAcentral describes it as "long non-coding RNA (CARI_LNC002069)". Lineage: Eukaryota; Viridiplantae; Streptophyta; Magnoliopsida; Fabales; Fabaceae. The record is from RNAcentral.
AAAAACUCAAUCACAAAACAAUAGUCUUAAAAAUGAAGCUUCAUUUACACUAAGCUUUAAAGUUCAAGCACUGAAGCAAAAAAAACACCAUAUUAAAGCAUUCCCUCAAGAUGUGACUAAGACUAAGCAAAGUACUCUUCAAAAUGAUAUAUAGGUUUGAGUGUGGAGUUGGCAGCAGCUGCAACUAAAGUUGUUCACAAUCCUAAAAUAUGAUUCACUUGAAUGUAAAUGACUUUGUUUUCAAUGGCGUUAGUAACACAAAGCUUGACUGUAACCCCUUCAAUAAAUCUUCUUGCUUUGCCAAAAUUUCCCCAGCCUCUAUGAAACAAAAUUUAGGAGAUGUUUCUUCAAACCUAAAGUUGCACUUCCAGGUAUUUGACCAUUGCAAUCAGCACAAAUUCAAUAUCUGUCUUGUUAACCUAAAGUUGCACUUCCAGGUAUUUGACCAUUGAUCUAUUACAGAGAAAAGUAAUGUAAUUAAACAAUUUUUUUAAAUCAUUAGCAAAUAUUGAAUUUAGGCACUUAUAAUCAUUUUAUUACAUAUGUAGUACAUACCAAUACACCGGAUUUAAUAUCUUCAGCAGUCUAAGUCUUAACGUAUGCAUGAUAAAAAGCCAUUGGAAAUUUGUGCCUCGUCGCACCACCAACAUUGUGAGUUAGUCCAUUGUUAAGAUUGUAAUUGAGAAUAGGAUGGUUCAAUGUGAACCUCAUGGGAGGAUUGCUCGUAGGAGGGUUGAUCUCAUUCCCAAGUCUAUCCUUGAUCCUUACAAUGACAAACCUUUGGGGUGUUGUAUGGCACAAUGGCAUCCAACCACCAAACUUUAUACCCUAAAAAUUUCAAGCAUAACCACCCAUCUGUGAAGAAAACGUCUCCUUCCUCUUUGUGUACUCUUACUUCAAAUUCAUUUCCACUUAGAUCAGUUAAAACAAUAGUUUUUAACUGACAAACCAAAG